Long non-coding RNA from Dermacentor silvarum, 356 nucleotides. RefSeq lists it as uncharacterized. The transcript has 3 exons. The record is from RefSeq and is a predicted model, not a curated record. Lineage: Eukaryota; Metazoa; Arthropoda; Arachnida; Ixodida; Ixodidae.
CAGGGUCCCAGCACGUCGUACCAUCUAUCCGACACUUCUAGAGAUUCCAGCACGAACGGAGAUGACUCGGAAGCAGUCCUACCGCAGAACUCACAAGAUAAUUGUGCAAAGCAGGAGACCCCAUGUGCAGUCGGCUACAACAGUGCUGUGGCGCUCACCAUGCGGAAUCCUGACAUAACCCAAAUAUCCCCCGACUGUUUGGAGUUCGUCGAGGAAGAUGGUACCAAGUGGUACACAUUUGCUGGUGGCCGCGGUCGACGGAUGGUGCAGCUGCGAGAAGCCCAAGCAUCCCUGUCAUCGUCCUCCCGCGCCGCUAGCUUGCGUCGACACCCAUGGACAGGAGUCUAAUUCAAUAA